GACAUCCGAGUUAACGGG
RNAcentral lists this small nuclear RNA (18 nucleotides) under Arabidopsis thaliana (thale cress). Its description in RNAcentral is "snRNA_10206". The record is from RNAcentral. Lineage: Eukaryota; Viridiplantae; Streptophyta; Magnoliopsida; Brassicales; Brassicaceae.